Molecule: non-coding RNA, 60 nt
Organism: Cajanus cajan (pigeon pea)
Lineage: Eukaryota; Viridiplantae; Streptophyta; Magnoliopsida; Fabales; Fabaceae
Source: Rfam
GGCCUAUUAGCUCAGUUGGUUAGAGCUUGGUGCUAAUAACGCCAAGGUCGCAGGUUCGAG